AUUGAACGCUGGCGGCAUGCAUAACACAUGCAAGUCGAACGGCAGCACAGUGUGUAGCAAUACACAUGGGUGGCGAGUGGCGGACGGGUGCGUAACGCGUAGGAAUCUGCCUUGAAGCGGGGGACAACCCGAGGAAACUCGGGCUAAUACCGCAUAAACUCGAAAGAGCAAAGCUGGGGCAACCUGGCACUUCAAGAGGAGCCUGCGUCCGAUUAGCUAGUUGGUGGGGUAAAAGCCUACCAAGGCGAUGAUCGGUAGCUGGUCUGAGAGGAUGAUCAGCCACACUGGGACUGAGACACGGCCCAGACUCCUACGGGAGGCAGCAGUGGGGAAUAUUGGACAAUGGGCGAAAGCCUGAUCCAGCAAUGCCGCGUGUGUGAAGAAGGCCUUCGGGUUGUAAAGCACUUUAGGCUGGGAGGAAGGGUUGUAGUUUAAGAGAUGACAACUUUGACUGUACCGGCAGAAUAAGCACCGGCUAAUUCUGUGCCAGCAGCCGCCGUAA
This 502-nucleotide ribosomal RNA is filed under the name uncultured bacterium. RNAcentral describes it as "partial 16S ribosomal RNA". It matches the Rfam family "Bacterial small subunit ribosomal RNA", at positions 30 to 523 of the family's 1533-position model. The record is from RNAcentral.